AAGAGCCGUAUGAAUCGAGAGGUUCACGUACGGUUCUGUGGGAGCCGGGGGGUGCGACUCCCCCCGGCUACCCGAC
Mycobacterium shinjukuense is the source of this 76-nucleotide non-coding RNA. The record is from Rfam. NCBI's taxonomy places the organism in Bacteria, Bacillati, Actinomycetota, Actinomycetes, Mycobacteriales, Mycobacteriaceae.